AUUGAACGCUGGCGGCAGGCCUAACACAUGCAAGUCGAGCGGAGCGGCGGACGGGUGAGUAAUGCCUAGGAAUCUGCCUGGUAGUGGGGGAUAACGUCCGGAAACGGGCGCUAAUACCGCAUACUAUCAGAUCAGCCUAGGUCGGAUUAGCUAGUUGGUGGGGUAAAGGCCUACCAAGGCGACGAUCCGUAACUGGUCGGAGAGGAUGAUCAGUCACCCUGGAACGGAAAAACGGUCCAGACCCCGACGGAGGGAAGCAGUGGGGAAUAUUGGACAAUGGGCGAAAGCCUGAUCCAGCCAGGCCGCGUGUGUGAAGAAGGUCUUCGGAUUGAAAAGCACUUUAAGUUGGGAGGCGUUACCAACAGAAUAAGCACCGGCUAACCUCGUGCCAGCAGCCGCGGUAAUAC
Molecule: ribosomal RNA, 407 nt
Filed under: uncultured bacterium
Lineage: Bacteria
Description: partial 16S ribosomal RNA
Rfam family: Bacterial small subunit ribosomal RNA
Source: RNAcentral